GACGAACGCUGGCGGCGUGCCUAAUACAUGCAAGUAGAACGCAGAUGCGAACGGGUGAGUAACGCGGAGGAAAAUGACUCAUAGGGGGGGGAAAAUAUUGGAAAAGAGAGCUAAUACCGCAAACUGUGAGAUGGACAUGCGUUGUAUUAGCUAGUUGGAGAGGUAAAGUCGCACCAAGGCGACGAUACAUAGCCGACAGGAGAGGGUGAUCUGCCACACUGGGAUCGCGACACUGCCCAGACUCCUACGGGAGGCCGCAGUAGGGAAUCGUCGGCAAUGGACGGAAGUCUGACUGAGCAACGCCGCGUGAGUUAAGAAGUUUUUCGGAUCGUAAAGCUCUGUUGUUAGAGAAGCGGUACCUAACCAGAAAGGGACGGCUAACUACGUGCCAGCCGCCGCGGUAAUAC
RNAcentral lists this ribosomal RNA (407 nucleotides) under uncultured bacterium. Its description in RNAcentral is "partial 16S ribosomal RNA". It matches the Rfam family "Bacterial small subunit ribosomal RNA", at positions 28 to 526 of the family's 1533-position model. The record is from RNAcentral.